Molecule: ribosomal RNA, 1372 nt
Filed under: uncultured bacterium
Lineage: Bacteria
Description: bacterial SSU rRNA
Rfam family: Bacterial small subunit ribosomal RNA
Source: RNAcentral
GAUGAACGCUGGCGGCGUGCCUAAUACAUGCAAGUCGAGCGAACGGACGAGAAGCUUGCUUCUCUGAUGUUAGCGGCGGACGGGUGAGUAACACGUGGAUAACCUACCUAUAAGACUGGGAUAACUUCGGGAAACCGGAGCUAAUACCGGAUAAUAUUUUGAACCGCAUGGUUCAAAAGUGAAAGACGGUCUUGCUGUCACUUAUAGAUGGAUCCGCGCUGCAUUAGCUAGUUGGUAAGGUAACGGCUUACCAAGGCAACGAUGCAUAGCCGACCUGAGAGGGUGAUCGGCCACACUGGAACUGAGACACGGUCCAGACUCCUACGGGAGGCAGCAGUAGGGAAUCUUCCGCAAUGGGCGAAAGCCUGACGGAGCAACGCCGCGUGAGUGAUGAAGGUCUUCGGAUCGUAAAACUCUGUUAUUAGGGAAGAACAUAUGUGUAAGUAACUGUGCACAUCUUGACGGUACCUAAUCAGAAAGCCACGGCUAACUACGUGCCAGCAGCCGCGGUAAUACGUAGGUGGCAAGCGUUAUCCGGAAUUAUUGGGCGUAAAGCGCGCGUAGGCGGUUUUUUAAGUCUGAUGUGAAAGCCCACGGCUCAACCGUGGAGGGUCAUUGGAAACUGGAAAACUUGAGUGCAGAAGAGGAAAGUGGAAUUCCAUGUGUAGCGGUGAAAUGCGCAGAGAUAUGGAGGAACACCAGUGGCGAAGGCGACUUUCUGGUCUGUAACUGACGCUGAUGUGCGAAAGCGUGGGGAUCAAACAGGAUUAGAUACCCUGGUAGUCCACGCCGUAAACGAUGAGUGCUAAGUGUUAGGGGGUUUCCGCCCCUUAGUGCUGCAGCUAACGCAUUAAGUACCCCGCCUGGGGAGUACGACCGCAAGGUUGAAACUCAAAGGAAUUGACGGGGACCCGCACAAGCGGUGGAGCAUGUGGUUUAAUUCGAAGCAACGCGAAGAACCUUACCAAAUCUUGACAUCCUUUGACAACUCUAGAGAUAGAGCUUUCCCCUUCGGGGGACAAAGUGACAGGUGGUGCAUGGUUGUCGUCAGCUCGUGUCGUGAGAUGUUGGGUUAAGUCCCGCAACGAGCGCAACCCUUAAGCUUAGUUGCCAUCAUUAAGUUGGGCACUCUAAGUUGACUGCCGGUGACAAACCGGAGGAAGGUGGGGAUGACGUCAAAUCAUCAUGCCCCUUAUGAUUUGGGCUACACACGUGCUACAAUGGACAAUACAAAGGGCAGCGAAACCGCGAGGUCAAGCAAAUCCCAUAAAGUUGUUCUCAGUUCGGAUUGUAGUCUGCAACUCGACUACAUGAAGCUGGAAUCGCUAGUAAUCGUAGAUCAGCAUGCUACGGUGAAUACGUUCCCGGGUCU